RNAcentral lists this long non-coding RNA (3794 nucleotides) under Piliocolobus tephrosceles (Ugandan red Colobus). RNAcentral's name for it is "lncRNA (ENSPTEG00000013334.1)". The record is from RNAcentral. Lineage: Eukaryota; Metazoa; Chordata; Mammalia; Primates; Cercopithecidae.
UUUACCUAAACAAAUGAUGAAUAACAAUGCUUCUACACUUUUGUUUACAGUGCAGGGUGUAUUGGCAACACUAACUUGUGGUCUGUGCUACUGUAUGUAUGCCUACUGUAAUGGUAAAAAUCUUAUAAGUGAAAGGAAAAAAGGUGAAAAGAAUAAUAAAAGAAAUAUCAGUAAAUUAAAUCCUCAUGUACAAUAUGUACCUAUAUUAAAAAAAAAAAAAACAAAUGAAGAGAAUGAUACUAGUAGCAACAGAAAUGAAAUUAUAAGUAAAAAUUUAAAUACAAAUAAUGCCGAUGUUGUAUUAUUAACUGAUAAUACAAGUUAUAUUAAUGGUAGUAAGACGGAAACUGAACAAAAGUUAAAAUAUCUAGCUCCGGCUACUAUUGCUCCUAAUAAAGAAUUUAAUAAAUAUAAGCAUGUUGAUAGUAGAAGUAAUAGUAGUAUAGAACCAAAACCUAAUUUACCAUUAUUUUGUAACGGUACAACUAAAGAAAAAAUAAAUGAUUAUGACAAAUGUUUGAUUGUCAAAAGUAAGAAUAACAACAAAGCUAUAGAAAAAUAUAAAAGCACAAAUGUAAAUAAUAAUAAUAAUAAUAAUAUGUUUUUUAUAAAAAAUGGAAUAAAUAAAGAUAAACAAAAUACGAAUGAAGAAAAUUACUAUAAUGAUAGACAUAUAUUAAACGAUACUGAAACGAAUUUGAAAAAAAGUACAAGCGCAUUUUAUGAAAAUAAUAAAAAUAAAAUUGAACAAAUUCAUUAUAAUAACAUGCGGAAAAGCAACAGUUUUACACAUAAUAGAAUUCCAGAUGUUGAGAAUUAUAUAUAUGAUAAAAAUAAAGACACUCAAUUAAUUUAUCUUAAUGAUAGUUAUAAAAAUCAUGUACAUAAAAUGACAUUAUUAAAUAAGGACAGAGAUAACGAAGCAAAUUUUUCUUAUAUAUAUUUGAAUAAAAACCAAAUGAUAAGAAAUGUAAAUGAUAACGAUACUCAUUUGUUAUGUAAUGGACAUGAGAACAACAAUAUAAGUAAUUUUUGUAGUAGCCUUUUUACACAGAAUGAUAAUAAUAACGUGGGUCAAGGUAUAACGCAUAGUAUGGAGAAAGACAUGACAGCUAACAUAACAGAUGACAUAACAGAUGACAUAACAAAUAACAUAACAAAUGACAUAACAAAUGACAUAACAAAUGACAUAACAAAUGACAUAACAGAUGACAUAACAAAUGACAUAACAGAUGACAUAACAAAUGACAUAACAAAUGACAUAACAGAUGACAUAACAUACGAUGUGGCACAUGCCAUGGUAAACAACAACGCACACAACACGACGCAUAACACUUCAUAUGACACUUCACACAACACAACAAACGAACAAGAUAUACACUAUCAACCAGAAAUAACAACUGAAAAAGGUUCUGAAAAAAUAAGAUAUAUAGAAAACGAAAAUUUGCACAACUCAAAAAAUUAUGACACGAAUAAAAAUUAUAUUUUUGAAUGCGAAAAAAACAUAAAGUUUUUAACAAAUAUGGGGAAAAUGAAUAUUUUAAUUUAUUCUAAUAAUUUACCUUAUCACAUUGAUGAAAACAACAGUUAUGCUACUUCUAUUAAUAGCUGUAGUGGUAGUAAUAAUAAUAGUAGCACUGUAAUUGGUAGUGGUAUUUGUAGUGGUAUUUGUAGUGGUAUUUGUAGUGGUAGUUGUAGUGGUAUUUGUAAUGGUAUUUGUAGUGGUAGUUGUAGUGGUAUUUGUAAUGGUAUUGGGAGUAGUAUUGGGAGUAGUAUUGGGAGUAAUGUUGGGAGUAGUAUCGGUACUCAUGUGACUAACAGUAGUAAUAAUAACAUAAUAUAUAGCAAGAACAUGCAUAAUAUGAAAGAAAAUUGUGUUCUUCAUUAUAAUAAUAAAAGUAUAAACAAAUGCAAUCAUUUGUAUAAUAAUAUUAAUAUGAAAGAUGAUGUUUAUAAGAUAGUUGGCUCUAAAUGUAAUCAAACAGAGAAAAAUGAUAAAUGUGCUCAGGAGUCUUAUUUUGAAAAUGUUAAUAUAAAUGAUCGAGUGUAUAACAAGAUAGGAAAUAUGUUGGAAAAAGACGAAUCAGCAUCUGAAGGUUGUAACAAGUUAACAGAAAAAAUGGUUAACCAUGUUGAUAUAAUUAACACAAAAAAUAAUAAAGAAAUAAAAAAAAAUAUUGAUGCAUAUGUUAAAAAUUCCAAAGAUGAGUAUAAUUUAAAAAAUAUGAAUAGCAAUAUAAAUAAUAAAAAAAAAAAAAAAAAAAAUGAGCUUUUGAAUUGUAGAUAUGACAAUUAUAAAGAAAAUUUAGUCAAAAAAGAAAAUAAAAAUGAUAGUGAUGAUAAUGAUAGUGAUAAUUUAGUAGCACUCGAAAAAACAUACAACAAUAGUAAUGCACAUUACAAUAAGUUAAAUGACAAAAACACUUAUUACACUAUGGACGAUAAACUAAUAAAAAAAGAAAAAUGUGUAUUAAAAAAUAAAACAAGGACUAACAAGUUAGAAGAAAAUGAAUAUACUUCGAAUGAAAAAAAAAUAAUAAUAAAAAAAAAAAAAAAAAUAAUACCUGAAGGUACAAUAAAUAGAAAUGAAGAGACUAUGUAUGUAGAAAAAGAAAAAUAUUUUAAAAAACAUGGAAAUGGAAAGCAUCCUGAUGAUAAAAAUGUAAAAAACGAAAAAGAUGGUCAUAUUGUAACACGGAGCACAAAAAAAAUGAAUAAUGAAAAAAAUGAAAAAGAGUUAACGUUAACAGAUGAAAACAAUUUAUCUAGUUCAUUUUUAAAAUCCGGCUUAAGAUCUAAUAAGCAAAAUGAAAAGGUAACAAAAAAUAAUGAAAAAAAAAGUCUAAAAAUAAAAGCGGAAAAAGAUAUAUUAAUAAAUGAAAAAAUAAAUGAGUACAAAAAUGUUGAACUAAAUCAAUACGUAAAAAUAAAAACUGAAAAAAAUUUAUCAUUAUUAGAGUUGAAAAAUAUAAACAAAAAUAAAAUAUCCAAAACUAAACCACUGGAAUUGAACCGAUCGCAAAAUCAAAAUAGUUUAAAACAGUCAAAUAAAAUCAAAUUGUUGAAUCAUAAAAAUUAUAUAAUGGAUGAAUAUAGAUGUGCAUCAGGCUUUGUAAAUUUUUUAUUGGAACAUAUCCAGACGAAUGAAACUGAGAAAACGAACGAGUCCAAACCAACGGAACAAAAAAAAAACCGCUUUGAUGAUUUAUUGAAAUUAGUCUUAAAAAUUGUAGAAAUUUAUGACGUCAAAACAAUAGAUUUUAUAGAAGCUUUUUUAAUUCUAGAAACAAUAAGAAUUGAUAUUAUUAGAGCACAUCCAAUUAAAGAAUGGAUAUUAGUUAUAUUUCACUUUUUAAAAGGGAAUGUUAAUAAACAUAACUUAAAAAAUAUUAUAAAACGUAUAAAACUAGAUAGUAUAACUACCAGUAUUGUAACAGCAGUGUUUUACAUGAACAAAAAAAAAGUGAAACUAACAGAAAAAAAUAUUGAUCAAGUUAUUACAACAUUACAUGAUGUUACUAGGAGAAGGUCAACAAGAUUUCAAGUAGCUAAUAAUUCGAAUCAUGAAAAUAAAUUAAAAGAGUCACAAAAAAAGGAUGAACCCUUAGGUUCCUGUUGGCAACCAAUUACAGCAAAUACGGCAACGAAAUAGCAAAUGCUACGUAGAAGUUUGGACCCGUACGUUAUAUAUGUCUGCCUCUCAGAAAAACUUAUAUAAAUUAAACAUGCAUAAAUUUGAAUAUGUAUAUUAAUGGUGAAAUAAAAAGAAUGAUAAAAAAAUAUAUAUAAAUUGU